UACGGGGGGGAGCAAGCGUUGUUCGGAUUUACUGGGCGUAAAGGGCGCGUAGGCGGUCGUGACAAGUCACUUGUGAAAUCUCCGGGCUUAACUCGGAACGGUCAAGUGAUACUGUCGGACUAGAGUACAGAAGGGGGCAACUGGAAUUCUCGGUGUAGCGGUGAAAUGCGCAGAUAUCAGGAGGAACACCGGUGGCGAAGGCGGGUCUCUGGGCAACAACUGACGCUGAGGAGCGAAAGCGUGGGGAGCGAACAGG
RNAcentral lists this ribosomal RNA (256 nucleotides) under uncultured bacterium. RNAcentral's name for it is "partial 16S ribosomal RNA". It matches the Rfam family "Bacterial small subunit ribosomal RNA", at positions 524 to 776 of the family's 1533-position model. The record is from RNAcentral.